AGGGCACCACCCGGCGCGGAGCCUGCGGCUUAAGGUCCCUCAAACCGGGAAAUCUCCCCCGGCCCGGACACCGACAGGAUUGACAGAUUGAGAGCUCUUUCUCGAUUCAAGGGGUGGUGGUGCAUGGCACCGGUUAGGAAGAGGAGCGAUUGGUGGGGAUAAUUCCUAACAGCAAGCACAGUUUCUCCUGCUAAGUAGGCCCCGGAACCUUUGUUGCGCUGGAAAUUCUUGCGCGAGGGACUGGCGCCGUCUCCCGAUCUCGAAAGAAACUCAACCCAUUUUGAUAUCCCCUGACAACUCCUUGGCGUUCACCUCCCAUCACACAAGGGAUCAACUCGUCUGACUUCCCCGCGACCAACAAGGUAAAGAACAGGGUGCAUCUGCCCGGCCAUCGCUACUGGUCCUUAUUCCCGCUGAACGGCGAUUGGUUAGUAAUUGCCAUUCAUAGGAUAAAAUAGGUUACCUUGCUGAACCUGCGGAAGGAUCACGGGCGAUUCUACCGACUGAAAAUUCAAUUCA
RNAcentral lists this ribosomal RNA (519 nucleotides) under uncultured eukaryote. Its description in RNAcentral is "partial 18S ribosomal RNA". It matches the Rfam family "Eukaryotic small subunit ribosomal RNA", at positions 1161 to 1452 of the family's 1831-position model. The record is from RNAcentral.